UUAGAACAUUUUCUAUGCCUACAACAGGCGUAGAAAACGAUAAAUAAUAUGGCCCUGGCAGGGCCCCCCUUUCCCUGCCCACACCACGCCCCCCUUUUUUAGACCUGGCGUGAGCAGGGAAAAGUCAUAGAUUGCGUUGCAAAUAACCUUUGCUCCAGAUAUGCCUGAAAACUGGUGUAUAUUAGUUAGUGACCCCCUAUGUUUUUGUCUUAGGAUCUAAACCCCAUAGUGGAAAUUGUAGACAUGUUUUGUGAGAAUUGCAACCCCCCGUCUGGAUUAUAGUGUAAGAAAAUCUGAUACAAGAGAGUUCAUCUUAAAAAGGUGACUUGAAUAACUUGGAUCAUUACUUUCAAGUCAAAUUCAACUACAAGCAGAGGUCUCAACCAAACACAAGCUGAAAAUCAGAGGAGUAAUACUUGGAACUGGUACAGAAGCCACGAUGGAGCACCUUGAUUUUGGUCGGUCAGAUUGCAGUGUGCACUGUGUAUGUAUUACUUGGUGACCAGGGGAAGGAAGAGGAGCUACACCUGUUCUACCUGGGGCGAUUUUCCGUUCUUGCAUUUUCAUUUUUUACUCCUUGCCUGCUUGGAACCAUAACUUUUGCAAAGAAGGGGACAACCAUCUUCAUUGCUGCCACUAUGAUGAGACUGAAGCCAGAGUGUCAUCCCAAGAGUUGGGUACAAAAGAAGCCAGAGGGAGAGGGAAUUGUCUCUUAAAGAACUGUGUUGUACUUGCCUGUUAUCCAACGAGUGCCAUAAACCUGUUGGCUCUGACUAAGCAUGUGUCAUCACUGAAAGACUAUAACUUCUAAGUCUAUUGCCUGUCAAAAACUGUUGCAACCAUUAAGCUUGUUGAUCCAUGUGAGAUAUGUAAAAACUGCUUUGUUUAAGUUACAUCUGUGUCUGCCUGAUUAGUUCCUCCAUCUUAUGCCUCAUUCACACGUCAGUGUUGUGGUCAGUGAUUUUCAUCAAUGAUUGUGAGCUAAAGCCAGGACUGGAGGCUACACACAGAUCCGGUAUAAAGAAAAGAUCUGCACCUGUUCUGUGUUUACAGCCGCACCUGGUUUUUGCCCCAAAUCACUGCUGGAAAUCACUGAUUAAAACACUGACGUAUGAAUGAGCUAUUAUGGUGGGGAACUGAAUAUAUCACUAGUAGGGCCAGAAAUAUUCUGUCUGUAAGGUCUGACUCCCCUUUACAUGCUAUGCACAAAGAAUGUAUAGUGCCAUGAGACCGACUGACAUUGAUGUACAGCUUACUCUUUUUAUGCUCAGUCAGCGAAUAGUGAUUGUGGAGGCUAUGUGCGAAGCAGAUCGAUUAAGAAAACACAAUAGACCUUUGCCAACUAGUACCCAGGAAAAAAACACACCAGCUAAACGUUGUAUUCAGAGUCUGGGUCGGAGAUGGCAUCAA
Long non-coding RNA from Bufo gargarizans (Asiatic toad), 1410 nucleotides. RefSeq lists it as uncharacterized. The transcript is spliced from 3 exons. NCBI's taxonomy places the organism in Eukaryota, Metazoa, Chordata, Amphibia, Anura, Bufonidae. The record is from RefSeq and is a predicted model, not a curated record.